GACGAACGCUGGCGGCGUGCUUAACACAUGCAAGUCGAACGAUGAAGCCUAGCUUGCUAGGUGGAUUAGUGGCGAACGGGUGAGUAAUACGUGAGUAACCUACCUUUAACUCUGGGAUAAGCCUGGGAAACUGGGUCUAAUACCGGAUACGACCAAUCUCCGCAUGGGGUGUUGGUGGAAAGCGUUAUGUAGUGGUUAUAGAUGGGCUCACGGCCUAUCAGCUUGUUGGUGAGGUAACGGCUCACCAAGGCGACGACGGGUAGCCGGCCUGAGAGGGUGACCGGCCACACUGGGACUGAGACACGGCCCAGACUCCUACGGGAGGCAGCAGUGGGGAAUAUUGCACAAUGGGCGCAAGCCUGAUGCAGCGACGCCGCGUGAGGGAUGACGGCCUUCGGGUUGUAAACCUCUGUUAGCAGGGAAGAAGAGAGAUUGACGGUACCUGCAGAGAAAGCGCCGGCUAACUACGUGCCAGCAGCCGCGGUAAUACGUAGGGCGCGAGCGUUGUCCGGAAUUAUUGGGCGUAAAGAGCUUGUAGGCGGUUUGUCGCGUCUGCUGUGAAGGCCGGGGCUUAACCCCGUGUAUUGCAGUGGGUACGGGCAGACUAGAGUGCAGUAGGGGAGACUGGAAUUCCUAGUGUAGCGGUGGAAUGCGCAGAUAUCAGGAGGAACACCGAUGGCGAAGGCAGGUCUCUGGGCUGUAACUGACGCUGAGAAGCGAAAGCAUGGGGAGCGAACAGGAUUAGAUACCCUGGUAGUCCAUGCCGUAAACGUUGGGCACUAGGUGUGGGGGACAUUCCACGUUUUCCGCGCCGUAGCUAACGCAUUAAGUGCCCCGCCUGGGGAGUACGGCCGCAAGGCUAAAACUCAAAGAAAUUGACGGGGGCCCGCACAAGCGGCGGAGCAUGCGGAUUAAUUCGAUGCAACGCGAAGAACCUUACCAAGGCUUGACAUAUACUGGACCGCACCAGAGAUGGUGUUUCCCUUCGGGGCUGGUAUACAGGUGGUGCAUGGUUGUCGUCAGCUCGUGUCGUGAGAUGUUGGGUUAAGUCCCGCAACGAGCGCAACCCUCGUUCUAUGUUGCCAGCACGUUAUGGUGGGGACUCAUAGGAGACUGCCGGGGUCAACUCGGAGGAAGGUGGGGAUGACGUCAAAUCAUCAUGCCCCUUAUGUCUUGGGCUUCACGCAUGCUACAAUGGCCGGUACAGAGGGUUGCGAUACUGUGAGGUGGAGCUAAUCCCUAAAAGCCGGUCUCAGUUCGGAUUGGGGUCUGCAACUCGACCCCAUGAAGUCGGAGUCGCUAGUAAUCGCAGAUCAGCAACGCUGCGGUGAAUACGUUCCCGGGCCU
This 1347-nucleotide ribosomal RNA is filed under the name uncultured bacterium. RNAcentral's name for it is "bacterial SSU rRNA". It matches the Rfam family "Bacterial small subunit ribosomal RNA", at positions 28 to 1381 of the family's 1533-position model. The record is from RNAcentral.